Caretta caretta (loggerhead turtle) is the source of this 1261-nucleotide long non-coding RNA. RefSeq lists it as uncharacterized. Lineage: Eukaryota; Metazoa; Chordata; Testudines; Cheloniidae. The record is from RefSeq and is a predicted model, not a curated record.
AGACUGGUUGGUAACUGGUAUACACUGUUGUAGUCCCUGGAGAAAACUUAACCACAGCUGCUGGACAGACUGGGGAAAUGAUGUCACAGUGAGCUGCAGAGAGACUGCAAACCUAACCCCCCAGCCUGGAGUUUAGAUGUUUGAAUGAGGUAUGGAUGGAUGAUGGAAUCAACCUCCAGCCUCAACCCGUCCUAAUGAAAUAAAGUGUAAACACCAACAUCUGAAGAUGCAGACAACAACCCUGACAAAGCAAGAAGAGUCCACCCAGAAAAGAAAAGAACAAAGGUACAACUGAAGGAACAUCAAAGCCAGGUCCCAGGCUGAAAGUCAUGUCUGCAAUUGACAGAUGAUCAAUCACAUUGAACCCAGAGGCAGCGUGACACAGCAAGUCCUAUAGACUCUGGAUUCAAACGAAAGCCUACAAAAAGGAUGGAUGAGAUGGAAGACUUUGGAGGGUAACAUUCUGCUGCCAACAUGGAAGGGCAUCGGUGCAUGCCCAACAGAGACCCAGCUCUUCCUUGUGCCCGGCUUUCCUGGCCAGUUAGCCGCCACAAGCUACAAACCCAAGCCACGAACUCAAGCUACAUUCAGGACAGGUCAAGGUAGAGUUACAUUGGCAGGACCAUGUGCAGAAGUUUUCCCAGCCAAUGUCUGUGCUGUAACUGUCCCGUAGAUAAUCAGAAGGAGAUCUCAAUAUUCAGGGCUAUCAAUUUGGCUCCUUUCACCAAUAUCAUAUUUCUUCACAAUUAAGAAGAAAACACCCUGGAAAAUAAGGAAUUCCAACUUGUCAGAAGACAUGAAAUUGUAUAAAAGAUCCUUGGGUCCUGAUUCUGUCAUCUCAGAUCUGCUUAGAUUUCAUCAGGGGAAGUUUGAGUCGCAAGACUGAGGUCCCAGUUAUGCUGGUACACUCUGAAUAUGAGAUUUGGACAUUGGACUAUGACCUAUGAACUGAAUUCUAAAGGAACUCUUUGCAACUUCGAAGCUCACCAUCUCUGCUAUGAAUCUGAACCUUAAUAAAUUGAACUCAUGUCUGUAUGUGUAUUGAUAUUUUAACCAUACUCUCUCUUUUGUGUUUUAAUACAUUUUAGUUUAGUUAAUAAGAAUUGCCUGUUGCAUGUAUUUGGGUAAGAUCUCAAACAUUCAUUAACCUGGGAGGUAAUGUGUCCAAUCCUUUGGGACUGGUAGAAACUUUUCUUUUAUAUGAUGAAAUAAGAUUUACAGAAAUUUUCAUCAUAUUUGAUGUGGGUACCUGGAUGGAGGC